GCACCGAGGCUUUCAGCCUGCGGGACAGUGGUGCGAUUUGCAUUAGAGAAAGGGAGAUGCCAUGUGCUGGCCCAGCACUCCAACAGGGGCCUGACCUCUAGGAACGGGACACUGGAGGAAGCCUAGACAUCUGAACAAAUCAAGUCAUCCAGAUCCACGGUCAGCUCCUGCCCCGACUUGGCCUUCCUCCUGCUGGGCUGGCCCACGGACCUCGGGAACCUGCCCUGGCUGUGGGUGACCUGCAGCCUAUCUCCCAGGACUAUGGAAGCCCCAUGCAGGAACAUGGUUCUGACACUUUGGGGAUUAUACCCUAAGCUUAAAGGACUGGAAAAGCCCCUGAAGUCCCGAGACCACAACCCUCCACCUUCUAAAGAUAAGACAAGUCACUGAAGGUCUCAGAACUGUGGCCCAUUCACCCCUUCCCUCAAGACAAGAGUGUGGCCAAGCAUCAAUCUCACCCCCAGAGACCAGACGGUGUCCAGGUCUUGGGCAGACGAAACCUGCUCCUUGGGGAUGGUCUUCCUGGCUGUGCUUCCAAAGGGCUGGCCUGCAAUCAGCUGGUUUUCACUUGAUCCUUUCGGGGUUUGCAUUAUAUCUGACUGAAGGAAUGAACUGGGAGAGAACAGCAGAGCCGCAGCGGAAUGUGGAAAGGCCCACGUCCAGACUGUUCCCAUUCUGAUUUAAAAGCCUGAUGAAGGAACAGCUGAACUCAGAGAAACAGCAGGCAACCUCAUGGAGACCAUGGACCCCUCUGCCAUCCCACCCAUCUUUGAACCAAUGCAAACUGUCUUCAGAACUCAUGCCCUUACAUAAACAGGCUCUACAGGCAGAUCACCUGAGGUUGAAAGGUGAAGCCACCUGGACUUCUGGGUCCAGUAGAGACUUGGAGAACUUUUCUGUCUUACAAAAGGAUUGUAAAAUGCACCAAUCAGCACUCUGUAGCUAGGAUUGUAAAACGCACCAGUGUUCUGUAGCUAGCUAGAGGUUUGUAAAAUGCACCAAUCAGUGCUCUGUAGCUAGCCAGAGGUUCGUAAAAUGCACCAAUCAGUGCUCUGUAAAAACACACCAAUCAGUGCUCCGUAGCUAGCUAGAGGUUUGUAAAAUGAACCAAUCAGCACUCUGUAAAAUGGACCAAUCAGUGCUCUGUAAAAUGGACCAAUCAGCACUCUGUAAAAUGGACCAAUCCACUCUGUAAAAUGGACCAAAUGGGAGGGGACAACUCAGGGAAUAAAAGCUGGCCACCCCAGCCCUCAGCGGUAACCUGCUUAAGUCCCCUUCCAGGCUGUGGGAGGUUUGUUCUUUCGUUCUCCACAAUAAAUCUUGCUGCUGCUCAGUCUUGGGGUCCGCAUCACCUGUAAGAGCUGUAACACUCACUGUGAAGGUCACGCUUCAUUCCUGAAAUCAGCGAGACCAUGAACCCACUGGAAGGAACAAACUCCGGACACAAGGGCAGGAGUUUGAGACCAGCCUGACCAACAGGGCGAAACACUGUGUCUACCACAAUUACAAAAAUUAGCUGGGCUUGGUGGUACGCACCUGUAGUCCCAGCUACUUGGGAGGCUGAGACAGGAGAAUUGCUUGAACCCUGGAAGCAGAGGAUGUACUGAGCCAAGAUUGUGCCACUG
RNAcentral lists this long non-coding RNA (1625 nucleotides) under Homo sapiens (human). RNAcentral describes it as "TMC3 antisense RNA 1". Lineage: Eukaryota; Metazoa; Chordata; Mammalia; Primates; Hominidae. The record is from RNAcentral.